CAGGGCUGUGCUUGGAAAGCUGUGAGAUGGCCGCAGCACUUACAGGAGCGCCUCUGCCUUCUCAAACAGCUGAUCAGCGGGGGUCCCGAGUGUCUGACCCCCACCAGUCCGAUACUGAUGACCUAUCCUGAAGAUU
Bufo bufo (common toad) is the source of this 136-nucleotide long non-coding RNA. RefSeq lists it as uncharacterized. The transcript has 3 exons. The record is from RefSeq and is a predicted model, not a curated record. NCBI's taxonomy places the organism in Eukaryota, Metazoa, Chordata, Amphibia, Anura, Bufonidae.